UACGAAGGGGGCUAGCGUUGCUCGGAAUUACUGGGCGUAAAGCGCACGUAGGCGGACUCUUAAGUCGGUGGUGAAAUCCUGGAGCUCAACUCCAGAACUGCCUUUGAUACUGGGAAGCUUGAGUCCGGGAGAGGUGAGUGGAACUCCGAGUGUAGAGGUGAAAUUCGUAGAUAUUCGGAAGAACACCAGUGGCGAAGGCGGCUCACUGGCCCGGUACUGACGCUGAGGUGCGAAAGCGUGGGGAGCAAACAGG
RNAcentral lists this ribosomal RNA (253 nucleotides) under uncultured bacterium. RNAcentral describes it as "partial 16S ribosomal RNA". It matches the Rfam family "Bacterial small subunit ribosomal RNA", at positions 524 to 776 of the family's 1533-position model. The record is from RNAcentral.